Molecule: unclassified non-coding RNA, 561 nt
Filed under: Hevea brasiliensis (rubber tree)
Lineage: Eukaryota; Viridiplantae; Streptophyta; Magnoliopsida; Malpighiales; Euphorbiaceae
Source: RNAcentral
GGGCCAUCAAAUUUUUGCAAAGCAUUUUCCAAGUAAUCAAAUUGAGCACCUGCUUCCUUUGCGGUGUCGCCUUUAAAUGAAGAAGCUACUGCGAUGUUAAACGUAUCGCUGUAGGAUAGCAACUCUUCAGCAUACUCUCUUUUAGCAGGAUCAUCUGGGAGAAGAGAAGGUCCUUCAAAGUUGCUAUCAACAUAUUUGAUCAGAUCAAGACUUUCUCCAAUAACUUUCCCAUUAUGUUCUAGAGAUGGCACCUUGUUUAUAGGGUAUACUUUCUCCUUAUACCAGUCAGGCCUGUUAUAGAGGUUGAGAGGAACUAGCUUAAUUUUAUCUUGUAGUCCCUUGUAAUUUCGGGUGAUCCACACACGUUGAGCAUAGGGGCAUAUGUAAGCAGUAUAUAACCUAGUAGUUCCGUCGAACAGAGGAGGUUGUUCGGCGGUGGCAUCCAACGACGGAGGUAGAACCUCUUCCACGAGAGCAGCCAUGGAUGUUCUUCGAGAAAUGAUUGUUGAAAACUUCGCUCUUAGACUGCGAUACUUGGAGGAGAUUCUCCGAGACAGGCGG